RNAcentral lists this long non-coding RNA (5053 nucleotides) under Sus scrofa (pig). RNAcentral describes it as "lncRNA (ENSSSCG00030042549.1)". Lineage: Eukaryota; Metazoa; Chordata; Mammalia; Artiodactyla; Suidae. The record is from RNAcentral.
CCAUGCCUGUGGCAUGCAGAAGUCUCCUGUCCAGGAAUAGAACCCGCACACAAGAGUGACCCAAGCUGCAAGAGUGACCAUGCCAGAUCUUUAACCCACUAGGCACACCAGAGACCUCCCCACCCAAUUUAUUCUUAAUGGACCUGCAAAAAGAGUAUUCAUAAUGGCAGGAAAGGGGGCCGUGUAUGAACUCACAAAAGAGGCUUCUCCUCACCAACCGACACACUCACUCCCACUUGCCAUUUACUUUGACUUGGUGGUUAAGAGUUGUGUGGAAGACAGAACCCCAUCUUCCUCUAUCCAAGCCAAAAAGGCCAAGAUACUGGCUUUCCCUAAGCUCUGGCAGCCUAGACCCAGGCCUGGGAUCUUCACUAGUCCCAGUGGAUUUAUCUGCCUGAGAUUUUAAAUCAGGUGCAAGUGAUACAAAGAGUAGAAGAAAGUUUACAGUUCAGUUUGAUGAUGGCAGUGGCAACGUCCAGGGCCCAGAGAAGUCACCAACAACCAGUGGUGGCAAUACCAACAGCAUCCUAGCCGGACCACUCCUGGGGUAUGACCUUGACCACAGUUCUGGUCUCUUCGUUUCUCAUGGUUCCUGAUCAGUUUCUAAGCCUGGUUCUCCAGGAUUCCUAUGACCUCUAUGAGCCAACGGAGUCCACGUUUCUCCACCCCAGAACUAUUCACUUGCUACCUCUCCCCUUCUCUCCCAAGGCCCAGAGGGAAGGGCCCAUCUGACCCCUUCUGAGUUAUCUCCAAUCACCCCCAGGACUUCCUCAUUUCCAAAUCCCCUCCCCUCCAAAAUCACACACACACAGAGUUUCUUCUUUACCUCUCUUCAACCUCACACAUUUUAGAUUUUCCAACAAAUUUACAGGAAUUAUUUUUAAUGGAGAAAGUCCCAAAUUUAGAAUAUCUCUAAAACCUCAAUGAACGUUUUCAUUCAUUGAAAGUUCAUAGAAAUGCAAAUGACAGCAGUAGCAAUCAUACUAGUAAUUGAAAUAAAUUAACAUUUCACUAUUUGCCGUGACCUGUGCUGAGCAGGUUUUUAAUAUUAAUUUAUUUUUUCAACAAAUAUUUUUCUCUUUUUAUUAUAGUUGAUUUACAAUGUUUCUUGGGCUUCUGUUGUACAGUAAAGUGACCCAAUCACACACAGUUCCCUGUGCUGUACGGUAGGGCCCCAUUGCCCAUCCUUUCCAAGUGUAACAGUUUGCAUCCAAAAUAUUUAUUUUGGAGUUCCCGUCGUGGCACAGUGGUUAACGAAUCCGACUAGGAACCAUGAGGUUGCGGUUCGAUCCCUGGCCUUGCUCAGUGGGUUAAGGAUCUGACAUUGCCGUGAGCUGGGGUGUAGGUCUCAGACACAGCUCAGAUCUGAUGUGCCUGUGGCUGUGGCAUAGGCCGGCAGCUAUAGCUCCUAUUUGACCCCUAGCCUGGGAACUUCGAUAUGCAACCCUGAAAGGCAAAAACAAAAACAAAAAAAUUAUUUUUACUAUAGUUGAUUUACAAUGUUGUGCCACAAGAAAUAUUUCUUGAACAUGCCAGGCACUAUUCUAGGCGCUUGGAAUACACUGACGAAUAAGACCGACAGCACCCCUGCCUUUAUGGGACAUAUAUUUUAGUGACAGGAGAAAAACCAUAAACAAACAAGUUGAUUUCAGCUAAUGCUAAGUGACUAUGUAAUAAAGAAGGAUGGGGCAGAUGGCCAAAAAGCAGAUGAAAAGAUAUUCAGCAUCACUCUUUAUUAGAGAAAUGCAAAUCAAAACUGCAAUGAGGUAUCACCUCACACCAGUCAGAAUGGCCACCAUCAAAAAGUCUACAAACAGGGAGUUCCCGUCAUGGCUCAGUGGUUAACGAAUCCGACUAGGAGCCAUGAGGUUUCGGGUUCGAUCCCUGGUCUUGCUCGAUGGGUUAAGGAUCCCGUGAGCUGUGGUGUAGGUUGCAGACACGGCUUGGAUCCCCCGUUGCUGUGGCUGUGGUGUAGGCCGUCGGCUACAGCUCCAAUUCGACCCCUAGCCUGGGAACCUCCAUAUGCCAUGGGAGUGGCCCAAGAAAUGGCAAAAAGACAAAAAAAAAAGAAAGUCUACAAACAAUAAAUGUUGGAGAGAGUGUGGAGAAAAGGGAACCCUCCUACACUGUUGGUGGGAAUGUAAAUUUAUACAACCACCACGGUACCGGUACUAUAUGGAGGUUCCCUGAAAAACUAAAUACGGAAGUUCCUAACAGUUAAAGAUCUGGCACUGUCAUUGCUGUGGCUUGGGUCACUUAAGUGGUACAGGGUAUUUGCAUGGGGUUUUUUAGGUUUUUUUGUUUUUGUUUUUGUCUUUUUAGGGCCACACCUCGGCAUAUGGAAGUUCCCAGGCUAGGGGUCGAAUCAGAGCCGCAGCCGCUGGCCUGUAUGUGGCGCAGGUUUGAUCCCUGGCCUGGAAACUUCCACAUGCCAAGGGCAUGGCCAAAAAAAAAAAAAAAACUAAAUAUAGAAUGACUAUAUGAUUUAGCAAUCUGGAGCAUAUAUCUGGAGAAGGACAAAACUAUCAUUCAAAAAGAUUCAUGUACCCCAGUGUUCACUGCAGCACUAUUUACAAUAGCCAAGACAUGGAAGCUACCUAAAUGUCCGUUGACAGAUGAAUAGAUAAAGAAGAUGUGUUAUAUAUAUCAGCUAUAAAAAAGAAUGAAAUAUGUAAAUCAACUAUAAUUUUUUAAAUCUUUUUAAAGAAUGAAAUAAUGCCAUUUGCAGCAACAUGGAUGGACCUAGAGAUUAUCAUACUAAGUGAAGGAAGUCAGACAGAGAAACACAAAUAUCAUAUGAUAUCACUUAUAUGUGGAACCUAAACAAAAAUAAUACAAAAGACUUUAUUUACAAAACAGAAACAGACUAGCAGAUUUUUGGGGGGGGUUUUUGGCCACACCCAUAGUAUAUGGAAGUUCCCAGGCCAGGGAUUGAAUCAGAGCUGCAGCUGUGACAUAGACCACAGCUGUGGCAUGCAGGCUAACCCACUGCUCCACAGCAGGAACUUCCAGACUCACAGAUUUUGAAAUCAAACUUAUCAAAUGGGAAACGGGGGGAGGGGUAAAUUAGACGUUUGGAAUUAACAUAUACACACAACUACAUACAAAAUAGAUAACUAACAAGGACCUCCAUUGUAUAGCACAGGGACAUCUACCCAAUAUUCACAAUAACCUAUACAAAAAGGAAAUCUGAGAAAGGAUAAAUACAUGAGUGUGUAUAACUGAUUCUCUUGCUGUACACCUGAAACUAACACAACAUUGUAAGUCACCUAUACUCCAAUAAAGUUGUUUUAAUUCAUUUUUUUAUUUUUAGAAAAAAGAAUGACUAGGGAAGUCUACCUUUAGUCCUCACAACUAUCUUGUGAUGCAUAGAAACUAUUGUAAUCACUGUUUUGCAGAUUAGGAAAUUAAGGCAUAGAAAUGUUAAGAAACCACCCAAGAGUGUACAGAUAGUAUAUUGAGGUCAGCAUUUGGUCUUGGAGCUUCCUAGCACCAAAGCCAAGCUCCAAACCACAGUGCCAUAUUGCCAUCUAUAGCCUGCCUUCUGGUCAACCCUCCUCAGCCUCCGUAUUCUCCAGUCCUAGACUUUUCAAUAUAGUAAGGAUCCUAUUCCACUCUUUAAUGUCCUUUAUUCUCAAGCAUAGACAUGGGCUUCUCCAUCCCCAGCCUUCCAUAUCCUUUUCUGCACUUAUAAGAAGGCCAGCAUUCACACAAGUACCAAGAGUGAGUCUCUGGUCAAACGAAGGGCUCACAUCAGAGGAAAUUACUCUUAUUUCCCAAGUGGUUUCCUUCUUCCUGAAUGGAGAUGAUCAGAGCUCACUACUUAGAUUCUCACCUCCAACUGCAAUUUCACACCCCGUUUGAAUAACACCUGGGGAUAGAUUUUCCCAGAUUUGGCAAAUGAAAGUACAAGACACCUAAUUAAGUUUGAUUUUUCUGAUGAACAGUGAAAAAAAGUUUAAUGUCUAUAUGGCCCAAAUAUUUCUUUCCCUAGAAAGAUAAAACAGUGCUAAAUCCAUGUGGCCCAAUAGUUCAUGAGACGCAAUUACUUGUUUAAAACAAAUUUUUUUAUUAAAACAAUAAAAAUUUUUAAUUUUUAAAAAAUUACUUGUUGUUCACGUGAAAUUCAAAUUUAAAUGAAUAGCCAAUGUUUUUCUGGCAACUCUGUCUAGGGGGACCCUGAAAAUAGGGGACCUCGGCCACCAGAGCUGAUGGUCACCAACUCAGGGAGAGAAGCAUGAAGCCACUUAGGGCUGAUCCAGUCCCAUCUCAUCAUGUCCCCCUUCCUCCUGCCUUCACCCUCAACACAGAACAUGAGGAAAAAAUCCCUCCCCUUGUCUUGUUCAGAUACCAACUCUAUCAGGAAGUCAUUCCUUGAGUCUAACUUUGAUACCUCAUGUUGCACCUGCAGUCCAAGUAUGUCUCACCCAGUCCUUGGCAGCCUAAGAGACAGUGAGUUCAUGGCCUUCUCAUCUGGCUUUUUAUGCAUUAUAAGAAUACUAAAUAUAUGUACCGUUCCCAUCCUGCUCUUCCCUGGACUGAGAAACUAACUCAGGAAUUAACCCUAAUUCCUUCUUAACUUUCAGUCCAUUUCCUUACCCUGAAAAUUGGACUGCCCUCAACUGGACAUUUCUUUUGGAGGGCAACUUGUCAGUAUGUUUCAAAAGCUCUAAAACUGUGCAUAUGUUUUGACUCAGCAAUUCCAUUUCUAGAAGUUUGUGUUCAGAAAAGCAUAAAAGUAUACAAAAUAUAAGUGCAAUGAUAUCUAUCUCUGCAAUAUUUAUAACAAAAAAAAUUUAAUUCCGGAAGUUCCCUUGUGUCACAGCAAGGUAAGGAUCUGGCCUCGCUGCAGCUGUGGUUCGAUCCUUGUGCUCAGGAACUUCCACGUAUCAUGGGUGUGGCCAAAAAAUAAUAAUAAUAGACAAAAAAUGUUUAUGUUUAAUUCCAACAGUAGGCGGUUUCUUUAAACUUUAGUAUAUUAAAAUAAUGUUUUAAGGAGUUCCCAUUGUAGCUCAGUGGUUAACGAACCCGACUAGCAUCCAUGAGGAUGCAG